UGGGGGAUAUUGCACAAUGGGCGCAAGCCUGAUGCAGCGACGCCGCGUGGGGGAUGAAGGCCUUCGGGUUGUAAACUUCUUUUGCUCUGAACAAGGCGCACUUUGGGGUGUGUUGAGUGUAGGGGUUGAUUAGCGCCGGCUAACUACGUGCCAGCAGCCGCGGUAAUACGUAGGGCGCGAGCGUUGUCCGGAAUUAUUGGGCGUAAAGGGUUUGUAGGUGGCUGGUUGCGUCUGUCGUGAAAGCUCAUGGCUUAACUGUGGGUUUGCGGUGGGUACGGGCUGGCUUGAGUGCAGUAGGGGAGGCUGGAAUUCCUGGUGUAGCGGUGGAAUGCGCAGAUGUCAGGAGGAAUACCGGUGGCGAAGGCGGGGCUCUGGGCUGUGACUGACACUGAGGAGCGAAAGCAUGGGGAGCGAACAGG
RNAcentral lists this ribosomal RNA (419 nucleotides) under bacterium. RNAcentral describes it as "partial 16S ribosomal RNA". It matches the Rfam family "Bacterial small subunit ribosomal RNA", at positions 355 to 776 of the family's 1533-position model. The record is from RNAcentral.